This is a long non-coding RNA of Oncorhynchus masou masou (cherry salmon), 2114 nucleotides long. RefSeq lists it as uncharacterized. The transcript has 2 exons. Lineage: Eukaryota; Metazoa; Chordata; Actinopteri; Salmoniformes; Salmonidae. The record is from RefSeq and is a predicted model, not a curated record.
UGAUGAGCAAUGAAAACGCUUAUUGGAUUUUGGAUACACGUCCAGAGCUACUACGACACAGCUCAGCACAGCAGCCGCAAGAGGCAGCAACUCAACUUUUUUCCUGACUUGACUUUUGGCUGGUUUGGGUCAGAAUGGCUAACUACUGGUCUGUUCAGGUUUUCUGUGGGCUUUUAUCCACCAUGCUCUUGGUCAUGGGGGCACUGGAUGGUGGGAUGGAAUGUACAGACAAGGACAGAUUACUGACACAGAUAUCCAAAGAUCUGGACCCACCAUCGGAGUGUGUGCUAGGCUGCACUGCACUGACUUACAGAGCUAUGCUGGAGACACAAAAUAUACCUACUGUACGCUUCAAAGACUCUACAGCAGGUGAGCAUGGAGAAUACUGCUGGUCCAGGAGAACAAAGUGUAGCCCCGGAGAGAGCCUGCUUCAAGCCUACAUCGUGUUACCUGUGGAUGUGUCACUGGUUAACAAGGAAACCCUUGGAUUGAAAGCUACUCUCCCCCACCAUAACAACAUACUCACUCCUCACAACGGUCCCACGCCACUUUCCAAACUCUGUGGUCUCCGCUUUGACAUCACAGACCAGUUCACCGUGACAAAGAGAUUGCCAACGUUCUGUGUGCAGGUUGUACCACAGCAGAGCACGUUGGAAAACGGAAUUCCUAUUAGAUGCCCACCUUUCUUGGUGACGAUGUGGCAGAGGCUGAAUAAGUAACCUACAAAGCAAUGGAGGGGGAUGAAAAGGACUUGUAAAGCUGACAACCAUCCAAAAUGUUUAAUGGCAUCAAGGUUCGUUUGUCAGAAUUGUUAGGUAACCCUUCUCCUAUUGUAAAUGCAUCUGGAUCUGAUAGUCUUGCUUAUUUCACAGCUAUCUAUCUCGUCAGCAACACAUUGUAUAUAAAAUAGUGUUUCUUCAUAUAUUGAUUUAGCAGCGGUGCCCCGCCACUCCCCCCCCCCAAAAAAAAAUAUAGAGUGACAAGUUACAACAUAUCUUUUGUCUUUAGAUUCUCGCUACAAUUGUCACUGCUGCUGAAUGAAAUCCUUAGGGAGGACGAUGCUGUAACAGUCACAGUAGGUUGUAUCAUGUUUAUGGAAGAGAAAAAGGAUGUCCGAUUCAAAUGGAAAGUCAGCUAAAACAACGGAUUGUCCGAUGAAAUUACCCAGAACUCUUUGACACAAGACUGUUGACUAAAUGGAGUACUUUCAACGAUGACUUGAAAUGGACUCAGUUUGGAAUGAGAAGAACGUGAGGUAAAUGUAUGGAAGGCGAAAAUUAACCGUUGUAUUUGAUAGAUAGAUAGAUAGAUAGAUAGAUAGAUAGAUAGAUAGAUAGAUAGAUAGAUAGAUAGAUAGAUAGAUAGAUAGAUAGAUAGAUAGAUAGAUAGAUAGAUAGAUAGAUAGAUAGAUAGAUAGAUAGAUAGAUAGAUAGAUAGAUAGAUAGAUAGACAGACAGACAGACAGACAGACAGACAGACAGACAGACAGACAGACAGACAGACAGACAGACAGACAGACAGACAGACAGACAGACAGACAGACAGAUAGAUAGAUAGAUAGAUAGAUAGAUAGAUAGAUAGAUAGAUUGAUUGAUUGAUUGAUUGAUUGAUUGAUUGAUUGAUUGAUUGAUUGAUUGAUUGAUUGAUUGAUUGAUAGAUUGAUAGAUUGAUAGAUUGAUUGAUUGAUUGAUUGAUUGAUUGAUUGAUAUCAAUAUCAUUGUUAAUAUGCUGUAUGGAUGUAUGCUUUUGGGUCGAUAGUUGAUUCUAGAUUGAGAUAAUAUUUCAAAUAAUAUGGAUUUGAGGCCUUUGUGUUCAUUUGUGCUCUAAUGUGUGGAGCAAACAUUUGAUGGCACAUAUGUAUACAGAAUGUAUAAGCUUCUUAUAAGAAAUAUAUGUGGCUGCUAUUUUAAGUGUGUGAACACCAGAAACUGUCCUAAAGCACAUUUAUUUUAUUUAACUUUUAUUAUAUUUACUUUAACUUCUAUUUUUAUUUACUUUAAUUUGCUAUAACACCACACUAAUUGGGUUGAUGUAACCUCUGCAAACUGUGAGCUUUACUAGAAUGUUUUUCCAACCAUGUCAAGUAUCCACAACAUUAAAACAACUUCACAUGA